CCUACGGGAGGCAGCAGUGGGGAAUUUUGCGCAAUGGGGGAAACCCUGACGCAGCGACGCCGCGUGGAGGAUGAAGGCCCUUGGGUCGUAAACUCCUGUCAGGUGGGAAGAAAAGCCUUCGGUAAACAGCCGAGGGUCUUGACUGUACCACCGGAGGAAGCCCCGGCUAACUCCGUGCCAGCAGCCGCGGUAAUACGGAGGGGGCAAGCGUUGUUCGGAAUCAUUGGGCGUAAAGGGCGCGUAGGCGGCCGAACAAGUCGGGUGUGAAAUCCCUCGGCUCAACCGAGGAACUGCACUCGAUACUGUUUGGCUAGAGUCCGGGAGGGGAUGGUGGAAUUCCCAGUGUAGCGGUGAAAUGCGUAGAGAUGUGGAGGAACACCAGUGGCGAAGGCGACUCUCUGGUCUGUAACUGACGCUGAGGCGCGAAAGCGUGGGGAGCAAACAGGAUUAGAUACCCUGGUAGUCCACGCCGUAAACGAUGAGUGCUAAGUGUUAGAGGGUUUCCGCCCUUUAGUGCUGCAGCUAACGCAUUAAGCACUCCGCCUGGGGAGUACGGCCGCAAGGCUGAAACUCAAAGGAAUUGACGG
This 587-nucleotide ribosomal RNA is filed under the name uncultured bacterium. Its description in RNAcentral is "bacterial SSU rRNA". It matches the Rfam family "Bacterial small subunit ribosomal RNA", at positions 338 to 916 of the family's 1533-position model. The record is from RNAcentral.